This 442-nucleotide ribosomal RNA is filed under the name uncultured bacterium. RNAcentral describes it as "partial 16S ribosomal RNA". It matches the Rfam family "Bacterial small subunit ribosomal RNA", at positions 338 to 795 of the family's 1533-position model. The record is from RNAcentral.
CCUACGGGGGGCAGCAGUGGGGGAUAUUGGACAAUGGGGGGAACCCUGAUCCAGCGACGCCGCGUGAGUGAAGAAGUAUCUCGGUAUGUAAAGCUCUAUCAGCAGGGAAGAAGAAAUGACGGUACCUGAGUAAGAAGCCCCGGCUAACUACGUGCCAGCAGCCGCGGUAAUACGUAGGGGGCAAGCGUUAUCCGGAAUUACUGGGUGUAAAGGGAGCGUAGACGGUGAUGUAAGUCUGGAGUGAAAGCCCGGGGCCCAACCCCGGGACUGCUCUUGGAACUGCGCGGCUGGAGUGCAGGAGGGGCAGGCGGAAUUCCUGGUGUAGCGGUGAAAUGCGUAGAUAUCAGGAGGAACACCGGUGGCGAAGGCGGCCUGCUGGACUGCGACUGACGUUGAGGCCCGAAAGCGUGGGGAGCAAACAGGAUUAGAUACCCGAGUAGUC